RNAcentral lists this ribosomal RNA (1370 nucleotides) under uncultured bacterium. RNAcentral describes it as "bacterial SSU rRNA". It matches the Rfam family "Bacterial small subunit ribosomal RNA", at positions 28 to 1381 of the family's 1533-position model. The record is from RNAcentral.
GAUGAACGCUGGCGGCGUGCCUAAUACAUGCAAGUCGAGCGAACGGACGAGAAGCUUGCUUUUCUGAUGUUAGCGGCGGACGGGUGAGUAACACGUGGAUAACCUACCUAUAAGACUGGGAUAACUUCGGGAAACCGGAGCUAAUACCGGAUAAUAUUUUGAACCGCAUGGUUCAAAAGUGAAAGACGGUCUUGCUGUCACUUAUAGAUGGAUCCGCGCUGCAUUAGCUAGUUGGUAAGGUAACGGUUUACCAAGGCAACGAUGCAUAGCCGACCUGAGAGGGUGAUCGGCCACACUGGAACUGAGACACGGUCCAGACUCCUACGGGAGGCAGCAGUAGGGAAUCUUCCGCAAUGGGCGAAAGCCUGACGGAGCAACGCCGCGUGAGUGAUGAAGGUCUUCGGAUCGUAAAACUCUGUUAUUAGGGAAGAACAUAUGUGUAAGUAACUGUGCACAUCUUGACGGUACCUAAUCAGAAAGCCACGGCUAACUACGUGCCAGCAGCCGCGGUAAUACGUAGGUGGCAAGCGUUAUCCGGAAUUAUUGGGCGUAAAGCGCGCGUAGCGGUUUUUUAGUCUGAUGUGAAAGCCCACGGCUCAACCGUGGAGGGUCAUUGGAAACUGGAAAACUUGAGUGCAGAAGAGGAAAGUGGAAUUCCAUGUGUAGCGGUGAAAUGCGCAGAGAUAUGGAGGAACACCAGUGGCGAAGGCGACUUUCUGGUCUGUAACUGACGCUGAUGUGCGAAAGCGUGGGGAUCAAACAGGAUUAGAUACCCUGGUAGUCCACGCCGUAAACGAUGAGUGCUAAGUGUUAGGGGGUUUCCGCCCCUUAGUGCUGCAGCUAACGCAUUAAGCACUCCGCCUGGGGAGUACGACCGCAAGGUUGAAACUCAAAGGAAUUGACGGGGACCCGCACAGGCGGUGGAGCAUGUGGUUUAAUUCGAAGCAACGCGAAGAACCUUACCAAAUCUUGACAUCCUUUGACAACUCUAGAGAUAGAGCCUUCCCCUUCGGGGGACAAAGUGACAGGUGGUGCAUGGUUGUCGUCAGCUCGUGUCGUGAGAUGUUGGGUUAAGUCCCGCAACGAGCGCAACCCUUAAGCUUAGUUGCCAUCAUUAAGUUGGGCACUCUAAGUUGACUGCCGGUGACAAACCGGAGGAAGGUGGGGAUGACGUCAAAUCAUCAUGCCCCUUAUGAUUUGGGCUACACACGUGCUACAAUGGACAAUACAAAGGGCAGCGAAACCGCAAGGUCAAGCAAAUCCCAUAAAGUUGUUCUCAGUUCGGAUUGUAGUCUGCAACUCGACUACAUGAAGCUGGAAUCGCUAGUAAUCGUAGAUCAGCAUGCUACGGUGAAUACGUUCCCGGGUCU